This 106-nucleotide small nuclear RNA is filed under the name Aotus nancymaae (Ma's night monkey). The record is from RNAcentral. Lineage: Eukaryota; Metazoa; Chordata; Mammalia; Primates; Aotidae.
AUUCUCUCUUGGGGCACAUAUACUAAAAUUGGAAUGAUAGGAGAGAAGGUUGGCAUGGCCCUAUGCAAGGAUGACAUGCAAAUUUUGUGAAUCAUUCUAUACUUGU